CCUACGUGUGGCAGCAGUGGGGAAUAUUGGGCAAUGGGAGCAAGCCUGACCCAGCAACGCCGCGUGAAGGAAGAAGGCUUUCGGGUUGUAAACUUCUUUUCUGAGGGACGAAGAAAGUGACGGUACCUCAGGAAUAAGCCACGGCUAACUACGUGCCAGCAGCCGCGGUAAUACGUAGGUGGAAAGCGUUAUCGGGAUUUAUUGGGUGGAAAGGGGGUGUAGGGGGGAAAGCAAGUCAGAUGUGAACACUAAGGGCUCAACCCUGAGCCUGCAUUUGAAACUGUUUUUCUUUAGUGCUGGAGAGGCAAUCGGAAUGCCGUUUGUAGCGGUGAAAUGCGUAGAUAUACGGAGGAACACCAGUGGCGAAGGCGGAUUGCUGGACAUUAACUGACGCUGAGGCGCGAAAGCGUGGGGAGCAAACAGGAUUAGAUACCCCGGUAGUC
This 443-nucleotide ribosomal RNA is filed under the name uncultured bacterium. RNAcentral's name for it is "partial 16S ribosomal RNA". It matches the Rfam family "Bacterial small subunit ribosomal RNA", at positions 338 to 795 of the family's 1533-position model. The record is from RNAcentral.